This 77-nucleotide transfer RNA is filed under the name Pseudodesulfovibrio portus. RNAcentral describes it as "tRNA-Met". It matches the Rfam family "tRNA". From Rfam's summary of the family: Transfer RNA (tRNA) molecules are approximately 80 nucleotides in length. Their secondary structure includes four short double-helical elements and three loops (D, anti-codon, and T loops). The record is from RNAcentral. RNAcentral also lists the same sequence under 8 other names. Lineage: Bacteria; Pseudomonadati; Thermodesulfobacteriota; Desulfovibrionia; Desulfovibrionales; Desulfovibrionaceae.
GGCGAGGUAGCUCAGUUGGUCAGAGCAUGCGGCUCAUAUCCGCAGAGUCGGAGGUUCAAGUCCUCUCCUCGCUACCA